This 230-nucleotide ribosomal RNA is filed under the name uncultured Alicycliphilus sp. Its description in RNAcentral is "partial 16S ribosomal RNA". It matches the Rfam family "Bacterial small subunit ribosomal RNA", at positions 548 to 774 of the family's 1533-position model. Lineage: Bacteria; Pseudomonadati; Pseudomonadota; Betaproteobacteria; Burkholderiales; Comamonadaceae. The record is from RNAcentral.
AGAGAUGCAUUGGGCGUAAAGCGUGCGCAGGCUGUUUUGUAAGACAGAGGUGAAAUCCCCGGGCUCAACCUGGGAACUGCCUUUGUGACUGCAAAGCUGGAGUGCGGCAGAGGGGGAUGGAAUUCCGCGUGUAGCAGUGAAAUGCGUAGAUAUGCGGAGGAACACCGAUGGCGAAGGCAAUCCCCUGGGCCUGCACUGACGCUCAUGCACGAAAGCGUGGGGAGCAAACA